This 468-nucleotide ribosomal RNA is filed under the name uncultured bacterium. RNAcentral describes it as "partial 16S ribosomal RNA". It matches the Rfam family "Bacterial small subunit ribosomal RNA", at positions 28 to 507 of the family's 1533-position model. The record is from RNAcentral.
GACGAACGCUGGCGGCGUGCUUAACACAUGCCAGUCGAACGGAAAGGCCCUGCUUUUGUGGGGUGCUCGAGUGGCGAAAGGGUGAGUAACACGCGAGUAGCCUGCCCUUUACUUUGGGAUAACUUCAGGAAACUGGGGCUAAUACCGGGUAUGAACUCCUGCUGCAUGGUGGGGGUUGGAAAGUUUCGGCGGUUGGGGAUGGACUCGCGGAUUAUCAGCUUGUUGGUGGGGUAGUGGCUUACCAAGGCGUUGACGGGUAGCCGGCCUGAGAGGGUGACCGGCCACAUUGGGCUUGAGGUACGGGCAAGAGUCAUACGGGAGGCAGCAGUGAGAAUCAUUGCACAAUGGGCGGAGGCAUGAUGCAGCAACGCCGCGUGCUGGAUCACGGCCUUCGGAUUGUAAAGCGCUUUCGCCUGUGAAGAAGCGUAAGUGACGGUAAUGGGUAAGGAAGCAACGGCUAACUACGUG